Hippocampus zosterae (dwarf seahorse) is the source of this 1595-nucleotide long non-coding RNA. RefSeq lists it as uncharacterized. NCBI's taxonomy places the organism in Eukaryota, Metazoa, Chordata, Actinopteri, Syngnathiformes, Syngnathidae. The transcript is spliced from 3 exons. The record is from RefSeq and is a predicted model, not a curated record.
UUGAGAAAAAAAGUAUAUAUAUCCAUCCAUCUAUUUUCCGAUCCGCUUAAUCCUCACAAGGGUUGCUGUGGGUGGGGGUGGGGGGUGCUGGAGCCUAUCCCAGCUGUCUUCGGGCAGUAGGUUGGGUUGCCAACCAAUCGCAGGGCACACAGAGACGAACAACCAUCCGCACUCACACUCGCACCGAGGGACAAUUUCGAGUGUUCACUCAGCCUGCCAUGCACACUUUUGGGGGCGGGAGGGGGGGGGGGUUAAAUCCCCUUACCUGGCAUGUGCCACGUCCUCAAAAAUGAGUCACGAUCCUAUAGCACCAUGGCACCAAAUUCACAUAUGAUCGUUUUGCUCGCCUUUUACCUUUCACGGGUCACAGACUUAUUUUGACCAGUAUAUUUGCAUGAAACAGUGAAACAAAUUGGAUUUUGACGGAAGGUAACCUUUAGCAAUAUUUGCUUUGGACAUUGUACUGUAUUCUUUGAAAUAUGUUCCCGUGCUACAAUGCUUUGAAUUGUGUCAAACUUUGUAUGUCAUGCUGUAUUCAACCAAAUGAUGGUGUAUAUUUGUUGCAGGAAACCAGCUGGCACUUUUAAUUCUCCACAGAAAAGUCAGGAUGGAAAGUGUGCAGGUUUAUGUGUGCAGACCUAUUGCUCCACUAGAGACAAGAUGACAGAUGACUUUAAGCCGGCACUUUAAACUUUGGCAGCCUCUCGGUGUCAAAUGGGAGGACUACCUUUGUCUUUCCUCCAAUGGAUCUAAUGGCCUGCUUGGAACGCAGAUGGAUUCUCGAUGAGUGAUUUGGGGACGAGUUUUCCUUGUGUGGCUCUUGUUCCACUCUCUUCCCGCAUCAGAUGAAGCACAAAGGUCAGGGGGUCGCACAACAAGGACCAUGUGGUACAUUCAGGCAAAGCUUUGAAAGGGUAGACGUGACACACUGGGCGAAAGACAGCGGGUGAUCUUGCUGCACGACAGAGCAGUGAAAAAAAAAACGUGGUGUCAAAAUUCUGUGAUAAAAGCUGUGCGUGUGUGGCAAAGUCAUGUGAAAUAAAUAAUGCAUAAGUAUGCCACAUGACCACAAAAUGAAUCCAAGAACUUAUCAAUAGGCAGUUAAACUCAAGUUGUCCAAAAUGUUAUGGAUGUAUUCAAAAAUAUUCCACAUGCUGAAAAUUGGCCCAACACCUGACAGAGUAAGUUAUUGUAUUCCAGAAAGGGGAAUCCUGGCAAUUGAUUGGUUCAGUGUGGUUUGUCCUUAUUAGGUUGUGGGUAAGUGGAGCCUGACCCAGCUGAAAGUACACCCUGGAAUGGUCGCCAUUCAGUCGCAGGGAAUCCAAAGAGCUUUUAAUAUGAUCACAAAAUCUCCAUGAUAUCUUAAUAAACACAAAUAGUGUCAAGACUAGCCUACUAAAACAGAUUACAACGUGGCAGGAGCCCUGGGCACCCACAUGUGGGGGCAUCCACCGACCCCUAACCAUUCCAACCAACUAUCAUUGAUGAAGGGGCAUAAAAUGAUGGGAUGGUGGUAUGAAUUUCUAUGAUUGAGUAAUUAUGAACGCAACCAUAUCCCUACUCCACCAAGGGUGUGCACUGUUGUGCAACCACAU